Long non-coding RNA from Triticum aestivum (bread wheat), 393 nucleotides. RefSeq lists it as uncharacterized. The record is from RefSeq and is a predicted model, not a curated record. Lineage: Eukaryota; Viridiplantae; Streptophyta; Magnoliopsida; Poales; Poaceae. The transcript is spliced from 3 exons.
GAAACGAAACCGCCGCCACCGCCCCUGGCUGCGCCUACAGUCCGCCGGCCGCCCCUCCAGCUAUCAGCCUCGAUCUGCCGUUCUGCACGUACCGAGUCGCCAGCCGCCCGGCCAAGUUGCCGUCCCUAAGGAGAAAAACUGAAAAAUACGAGCGCUACUCAUCAAGCCCUAGUAUGCCUGAAAUAGUUGAUCUGGACAAGCUACGUUGCAUACUAUUCCUGAUGAGGUGAUAGUUUGACGCUUUCAUGUGAAAAACUAUCGUGGGAUGAAACUGAAGGAGCUUGAAAGCUAGAAAUCAAGGACACAACAACAAAAAGGAACGGCAUAUCCAUAUUUCUCAAGUUAUUCUAUCAUAAAUGGUUAGUUUACUUUUAUUUUGGCACUGAACAUGUC